AAUGAACGUUGGCGGCGUGGAUUAGGCAUGCAAGUCGUUCGUCCCGCGAGGGACGAGGCGCAAGGGUGAGUAAGGCGACGGCAACCAACCUCCCGAUUGGGCAUAGCCGCGGGAAACUGCGGGUAAUACCCAGCGACGUCAGGCGGGGACCUCCCCGCGUGACCAAAGGUGCGAUUCCGUCGGGAGACGGGCCGUCGUGGUAUCAGCUAGAUGGCGGGGUAACGGCCCACCAUGGCGUUGACGCCUACCGGGCGUGCGAGCGUGGCCCGGCACACUGGGACUGAGACACUGCCCAGACUCCUACGGGAGGCUGCAGUCGAGAAUCUUCGGCAAUGGGCGCAAGCCUGACCGAGCGACGCCGCGUGGAGGACGAAGGCC
Molecule: ribosomal RNA, 378 nt
Filed under: uncultured bacterium
Lineage: Bacteria
Description: bacterial SSU rRNA
Rfam family: Bacterial small subunit ribosomal RNA
Source: RNAcentral